Bactrocera oleae (olive fruit fly) is the source of this 1080-nucleotide long non-coding RNA. RefSeq lists it as uncharacterized. NCBI's taxonomy places the organism in Eukaryota, Metazoa, Arthropoda, Insecta, Diptera, Tephritidae. The record is from RefSeq and is a predicted model, not a curated record.
CAUCGAUUGGCAUAUGCAUGUUUAAACUUACAUAUUAUACUUAUACUAAUAUUCGUGCACAUCAUAUGUAGCGUCACAAGUCAAUUAGGCAGCCAAAUAGCCGAAGCCAAAAUUUAUAGUAAAACACACAACAACAACAUUUCCAUACAUGAGCGCAAGCGCAAGCAAAGUGGAUUCAUUCAUAAAAGCAGAUACCAUAACAUGCCCUAGCAUGCGUUUGCCAACAAGAGUUUUUUCGCGACGAUUGCUAAAACUAGAAAUCAUAAAUUGAAAAACAUUUUUAUUUUCUUUCUGAAAGGAAAAAGUGACAACCUCGCAAAGCAUUGGUUGUCCGUGCCAAUGGAGAUUUCACAUGAAGCAAUGAGUGUACAUAUUUACAUACAUAUGUUGCAGGUAGACAAGCAUUAUGCGUUCUUUCAUAUUUGUUUACACUCACACAUAAUUAUAUAUGUAUAAAUGGAGGACUGCUUGGUCUUAAAGGGGACAAAAUAGAUAUUUAUGAAUAAAUAAAAAUUUUUUUAAGAAAUACAAAAUUCACGAUAAUUUUUGAACAGACCUCGUACAUAAAUAUAUUAUUAUUAAAACAUAUAUAUAUUAUACAUUAAUUAAAUAUAAUAUUAAGGUAAUAAUACAAACCUUACUUUAUUAUAAAUGCAAAACAACGUAUCAUCAAAAUAUUCAAAAUUGUUAUUGAUUACGCCCCUAUUUCAUAUAUAUAUGUACAAAAUUUUAAGUUUCUGCUAUAAGAUAUAAGCAUAAUUCAAAUUUCGUCUCAAUACGAGUAGUAAAUAAAUGUUUAAAAUCGCGUGAAUACUUUAAAUAAAAGGCGAUAUGCUUCGUAUAAGUACGCAAAAGUUUAUUGUUGACAUCCAUUAUUAUAAUUCAUAUAAAUGGUAAUCUUAUAUAAUAUAUUAUAUUUUCAUAUAUAAUUAAUUAUAAAAGAAGAGUUUUAAAUACGGAACGAUGUCGAUCGAAAUAGCUGCGCGCGGAGCUGUCGUAUCGAAUGAGGAAAAAUAUUGAUGUGAUGCUCUUAUUCGGUCGGUCGAUGGAAAUAUUGUACGGGUUUUACUUUGGUUAUUA